GAGCCCGCGUCCCAUUAGCUAGACGGUGGGGUAACGGCCUACCGUGGCAACGAUGAAUAGCAGGCCUGAGAGGGUGGCCUGCCACACUGGGACUGGAACACGGCCCAGACUCCUACGGGAGGCAGCAGUGGGGAAUAUUGCGCAAUGGACGAGAGUCUGACGCAGCGACGCCGCGUGGAGGUUGAAGGUUUUCGGAUCGUAAACUCCUGUCAAGAGGGAAGAAACCUAUUAAGAAUAAUACUCUUAGUAAUUGACGGUACCUCUAGAGGAAGCACCGGCUAAUUCAGUGCCAGCAGCCGCGGUAAUACUGAAGGUGCAAGCGUUAAUCGGAAUCACUGGGCGUAAAGCGCUCGUAGGUGGCUUUGUAAGUCAGGUGUGAAAGCCCACGGCUCAACCGUGGAAUUGCACUUGAUACUGCAUCGCUAGAGUAUAGGAGAGGGAAGUGGAAUUUCUGGUGUAGGAGUGAAAUCCGUAGAGAUCAGAGGGAACACCCGUGGCGAAGGCGACUUCCUGGACUAUUACUGACACUGAGGAGCGAAAGCGUGGGGAGCAAACAGGAUUAGAUACCCUGGUAGUCCACGCCGUAAACGAUGGA
Molecule: ribosomal RNA, 595 nt
Filed under: uncultured bacterium
Lineage: Bacteria
Description: bacterial SSU rRNA
Rfam family: Bacterial small subunit ribosomal RNA
Source: RNAcentral